GGAUUAGCUCAGUAAAUCAGAGCCUGGUGCUAAUAACACCAAGGUUGUGGGUUCAAUCCCUGUAUAGGCCA
The sequence is a transfer RNA, 71 nucleotides long. It matches the Rfam family "tRNA". Rfam says of the family: Transfer RNA (tRNA) molecules are approximately 80 nucleotides in length. Their secondary structure includes four short double-helical elements and three loops (D, anti-codon, and T loops).